This 253-nucleotide ribosomal RNA is filed under the name uncultured bacterium. Its description in RNAcentral is "partial 16S ribosomal RNA". It matches the Rfam family "Bacterial small subunit ribosomal RNA", at positions 524 to 776 of the family's 1533-position model. The record is from RNAcentral.
UACGAAGGGGGCUAGCGUUGCUCGGAAUUAUUGGGCCUAAAGCAUCCGUAGCCGGUUCUACAAGUCUUCCGUUAAAUCCACCUGCUUAACAGAUGGGCUGCGGAAGAUACUAUAGAGCUAGGAGGCGGGAGAGGCAAGCGGUACUCGAUGGGUAGGGGUAAAAUCCGUUGAUCCAUUGAAGACCACCAGUGGCGAAGGCGGCUUGCCAGAACGCGCUCGACGGUGAGGGAUGAAAGCUGGGGGAGCAAACCGG